GCAAAGAUAAAAACACGAUUCGGUUGGUAGUCCGAAUGCGGCAGUAUUCUGCCGUCAGUAACCUGCCUCCUUGGUUGUCCGUUCUUUGUG
This 90-nucleotide non-coding RNA is filed under the name uncultured Anaerotignum sp. RNAcentral's name for it is "yjdF RNA". It matches the Rfam family "azaaromatic riboswitch aptamer (yjdF RNA)", at positions 5 to 92 of the family's 101-position model. Lineage: Bacteria; Bacillati; Bacillota; Clostridia; Lachnospirales; Anaerotignaceae. The record is from RNAcentral.